RNAcentral lists this long non-coding RNA (5562 nucleotides) under Brassica napus (rape). RNAcentral describes it as "long non-coding RNA (BNAP_LNC013675)". Lineage: Eukaryota; Viridiplantae; Streptophyta; Magnoliopsida; Brassicales; Brassicaceae. The record is from RNAcentral.
UUGUGUGUCUUAGGAGCAGGUUUCUCGGUCUUCUUAGGGUUGGGGUCUGCACGGAUGGCAGCAUGAACCUUCUUGUACAACUCCUCCAUGCUCUCAGCAUCAACUCCUUUCUUCAAGUACUGACUGAAGUGAGUCUGAAACUUCUCUGGCUCAUCCUCAUUCAACAUCUUCAUGUAGUUUGAGACGUGACCACCAUAGAUGUAGUUCCUGUGGAUCUCAGCAUCGAGUUGCUUGUUCUCCUUGUUGAAACCAGCAAAUCUCUUGUCACUGUGGGGGAUAUCAAGUCCUCCGUCCAAGGCACCCUACAGUAACAAUAAACAAACUCAUCAAACACAUAACACAACAGAUAAGAAUAAGGUAUUACAACAGUUAUAUAUUACCUUGAGUGCACCAAAGACACGGUUUCCUGUAGUGGUCCUGAUAAGACCAACAUCAAGUAGAGCACGGAAUGGUCUCCUGGACUCGGUUGGCUCGACGGAAAAGUCCUCUCCGGUAGCCUGUUCAUGAUUUUAUACGGUUAGAGAUAAAGCCGGAGAUAAAGCUCAAAUCAGAUUUACAUGAAACAUUACCUCAAGGUUGCCCUCGUACUCUUCAUCCAUUUCCAACAUCUUCAGAACACGGCGAGCCAAUAGAAGCCCGGUGCAGUAAGCUGUGUUUCACAAGUAAAGGGUACUAACUAUUUAGCAAGACAGAACAAAUCAACUAUACCCAGAAAACUAAAGCAAAGGACUGAUCAGUACCUGCAGCGUAGUUGGUAAGUCCAACGGUGAGACCAUACUGAGGCAACUCAUGAGCGUAAGCAGAAGCCUUGACAAUGUCACCGGCUAUGCUUGCAGACACGAUUUGUGCGACUAUGUCUUUGUUGGUGAACCUGACAACAAAACGGUACUUUGGUGUGUUGUACUUGUUCUUGUCUUGGUUGAUGAGACGGAUCCUUGCUCUGUAAUCAGUCUUCCCAUCUGCACAAAAAUGAAAAAAACCUUUCAGAACGCAGACAAUAUAAAUCCAAAGAAACAAAUGAAGAAUCAAAUCAAAAUACCUCUCCUUCUCCUGAACUUGACUUGGUACCUCUUGAAGUAAGCGUUCGACUUGGAUGGCUUCACAAACACCUAUCAAUAUAAAAAACAUCUUAUAUCGUUAAGAGUUUUAUAUAAAGAACGAUGUAGCUGUUCUUCCUAAAGAAGCAAAGAUCUAUAUGAAAUAUCGUAAAGGUACAGCCUUUAAACAUCAAGACCAAAACCCAUUAAGAUUAUAGCCCUAUAGACUAAUGAAUUCUCGUUACCAAAGCUCAGACAAAUAUGAAAAAUCUAAGGAAACGCUGGAGAAAACUAAUGUAGGAGAUUUCCAUAUCAAACGAAAUGAAAAGCAGAAUCUUAUUGUUUGAGAAAAUUAAGAAGGCAGAGAGAUGAAAGCUAGGGCGUACCAUUGUUUGAAGCUAAGCGGAAGCUAAGCGGAAGCUUUGGGUGUGAGAUGAGAGUGUCGAGAAGACAAGAGGCGGAAUAUAAACCAAAAUGCAAGAUCUUAUAAUGAAAAACCCUAGAUGACUCCUUCGUGGGCUCUCCCUUAAUUCAACGGCCACGAUUUAUCUGGGCUUAAUAAUGUUUUAACGGUCUAGAUCGGUAUAAUGUAUUCUGCAUGGGCCCAUUAGUCUUUGUAUUUGGGCUUUUGUCUUCCCAAACUAUUCUGAGAUGUCUUUAUGUAUACUCCUUCCAUUUCGAAUUAGAUGCCGUUUUACGGAAAAAAAUUCGUUCCAAAAUUAGUGUCGUUUUAUGAUUUUAAUGCAAAAUUUAUUAAUUUUUUAUUCUAAUAUAUUUUUCUAUUGGUUGAAAUCUGGUUAGGUGUAUUGGUAAUGAUGUUUUUAUCUAGUAAAUAGAUAAACUUAAAUGUUUUAUUAAUCUGUGUGUCGAAUUCUAGAACGACAAGUAAAACGAAACAGAGGAAGUACUAAGCUUACUUAGCUCGAAAUUGUUUAAUAAAAUGCAAUAACUCAAAAUAUUUAGUGAAGUUAUUUUAUAAUUUUGGUUUAAAAAUAGUAUCGCAAAUUUUUUCUGUUUAUUGGCUUUUGGUAUUUAUUUAUUUUUGUGUCAGUCAACAAGAGUUUAUAUUUAUUUAUGUGAUGCAAAUAUAUGUUGGACUAUAAUCUUAAAAUUUUGGGUGUGACAUUACUUAUUAUGAGAGAUAUUCUAUAAUGUUGGUAUUUUUUUUUGAAACAGAGUACAAAUGAUGGAAAUUAAUCUGUAACUGAAUAGUAUGUCAUAGCUUAAAACAAAUGUACAACUUACAAAAUUUGUAACUAGUUUGUGUAGUUCUUAAGCAUGCGGCUCAGGACUGGUAAUUUGUGUAAUUCUUGAGCAUGUGGCUCAGGACUGGUAAUCAGUGUUUUAGUGUAACUAAAUCAUAUAGCUACGACUUGAAUGUAGUCAUUGUCAUUACUAAAUUAAGUGUGGGAAUUCCACCAAUAUUCUAUUUUGGUCUUUUUUUUAUCACCAAAACAUUUAUCAGGUCUGUAGCUUUCAAGUAACAGAAACGCUCCUUUCUCCGGUCCGACGUUUGUGUCGGAACCGAAGGCGUCCUCCUCCUUUCCUUUCUCUUUUUUAUUUUGCCUCCUCCCAUCUGUUCAACCUCUGUCGAUAUGCAAGCGAUUCUGGAUGUGUCCGUUUGUCACCGGAGACCUCUCUGUUGGUUAAAGGAGACAAGACGACGGUUCUGGAAAAGCGGGGAGACUGAGGAGCGACUGAAGCGGGGGAGGUCGGCUUUUAGGACUGAAGAAGCUACCAGAUCUAGUUUUCCUCUUUUCAGAUUUGGGCGAUUUCUUCGGAAUGCCGGCGUGUGACCAUUGUGGGAACCCUUCUCCGUCUUAGAUCUACCUCACUGAGCGGAGGUGAGAAGUACCGAAGAGCGAUUGACAAGCGGUGGAAGAUGUUUUGAAGCUCCGGUUCUCGGAAUCAACGUGUCGCAGAGUCCUUCGUCGCCGGAGGUGGUAGCUUUGCAGCAGGUACACGGUGAGGCUCUACUUCCCAGCGCCGGCGGUGGUCUGGUUACUUCGUCGGUGGUAUGAAUCUCACGUCAUCUGAAGCUAGGUUUUGCUGUUCCGAUUACGUUAUGCUGUCAUCAAGUCCGCCUUUUAUCAGUAUGCCAAUUCAGAAUUUGCAGGUGUACUAACUGGUGUGCCGUCUUUUCUGGCUUAGGAGCGGGACAAGAAAUUUGGUGGUGGUGGUCUAGGCCGGGAAUGCUCCGAAAGUAAUGGAAUGGAUGUGUUGGUCCAAGCUUAUCAUUCUUAUCUUUUGGUGAUCAGCACUUUGCUCUUGUAAUUAGUAGCCUGGUUUAGAUUCUAUCACUGCUGGAUGUAAGGUCUUCGUCUCUUGUGGUCGAUUUAGGUGGUUAAGAGGUGGCUCUUCCUGAGUCGUAGGAAGAGUUCAUCUCAUCGGGGUGAAAUGGGCAAUGAACAACAACCGGGUAGUGUAGGAUCCAAUCAAGUGAUCUUAAGCGAUACUAGGUUAGUUCGUUUGUCCUAGUGGUUCAAUCUCUUGAGAGGUUUAAAAUCAUGUGUAACUCCAAAAGUUGGUGAAUGAAAGUUGAUGAUGAGUUAAAAAAAAAAAAAAAACCUUUACCAGGCAUGAGUCAUGAUUAUAAGACCCACAACCGCCUAUUCACAUGACAGAAUUUGAAACCUCUUUAUUACAGGCAGAUCACAAUUCAUAAAAUGUAUUAUCAUUUUUAGCUGCUGGUGCUCGGUUUUCGGGAUACCAAAGAGCUACCUUGGGACCUUUGUGAUGAUGUGUGUUCUUAUGGUCACGAACUCCAAGUAGUUGUCACAAGGCCAAGAUUACAUGUAAAUAUAUAUUUUUUCCUUGAGAUGGAGGAGGAUUUGGUACCUCGAAACUAAGAGAAUUGUCAAAGCUAUUUUUUCUUAGGCUGAAGUGGUAUUCUAUGGUGCAUUGCAAUUCGAAGAAUUGUAUCCAUUCUAGCAAUGUAAAAUUUUUGUUUGAGAUAUCGUCUUUCUCAUAACUGAUAGUUCGAUAAGUUUUCAUUAAAAAAGAUAGUUCGAUAAAUUUAAACCCUAUAGUACCAUAAAGAAUAUUAUGCAAAAUCAAAUGCUGUGAAAUGUGCAUGUGUGACUAAUGAGAACGCUAGUGCAUUUGCUAUAGGAUCUGUAGAAUGGAAAGAAACAAUAUGUAAUGUGAAUAAACAAUGACUUUCUGAUCAGUGAUUGAUGAAGUAGGGGAAGAAGGUAACGUGAGAUUGAUCAUUUAGCUGAAUAAUAAGAUUCUCGAAUAGUUAACCAGAGGCUUUCUACAUUAAACGAAUUGAUUUGCGAUGAUCCACACACCCUUCGUUUAUGCCAAUCCCUUCUAAGUUGAGUUGAGACUAUUCUCUUCCUGGCUUUCUCAGCCUGCAAAUAAUAGAGAUUCCAGUUACUUCAAAGAUUAAAAAACAAAACAGAAUGUGGAAGUGUGACAAGCUAAAAUGACUAAUUUUCUAUUCCAAGUACUAACCUGUUCGUUCCAAUUUAUAGAACUUGUAAUGAUAUAAAGUAUAAUGGCUCUUGCACAGCGGAUCCAACCACAACACCGCACACUAUCCUUUUCGUUAAAAUGACGAUAAACUCUAACCGGAGCUCCUAUGAGAUUACCAUAUUGUUCCAAGCUCCAAUAUGGUGCCAACCACUUCCUCUAGCAACCCCAUUUAGAAUUGCAGUAAAUCCAUCAUGGAUAAAAGAAAGAUAGAGCAAUACGGGUUUGUUCAUUAGACAUCGCUCUUUGCUUUUUAAUUUCAGAUACUCGAGUUAAAAAGACUACUGCAUAUUCAAGAUUUUGUGUAUUGUUUAAUCCAAUGUAUUGUUUGAAAGGUUAUAUCAGCCUUUGAUUAUGAAAUGAUUGAUUGGUAGAGCAAUGAACAUUAAAGUACGCAUAAGAUCAAACUAUAAAAACUCCAAAAUCAUGAAAAUGUCGAAAAAAUUUAACUUCAUAGAAAAUGGCAAUCCUCAUACUCAAACGGACAUAAAAUGUGAAAACACGAGCAUAAGUUUUAAGUCUGGCAAAAAUGUAAAAAGCUACAAGAGACAUCAGGAGAAAGGCUUAAUGACGCUUUACUCUUCGUCGUCCUCAUCAUCAUCAUCCCCACCAGCUGCUCCGUUCAAUGCCUUGACUCUCUCGAUCAACUUGUUCUUCCUCUCCUCGUAGGUCAACUUCUUCAAGUUGUACCUGUUUAUCAGUCAAAACCACACAAUCAGGCACAAAUGCACCAAAAGCAUUAAGAAAGAAUGAAAUGCUUUUGUAAAUGAUUAACCUCUUGUGUGUCUUGGGAGCAGGUUUCUUGGUCUUCUUAGGGUUGGGGUCUGCACGGAUGGCUGCAUGAACCUUCUUGUACAGCUCCUCCAUGCUCUCAGCAUCAACUCCUUUCUUCAAGUACUGACUGAAGUGAGUCUGAAACUUCUCUGGCUCAUCUUCGUUCAACAUCUUCAUGUAGUUUGAGACGUGACCUCCAUAGAUGUAGUUCCUGUGGAUCUCAGCAUCGAGUUGCUUGUUCUCCUUGUUGAAACCAGCGAAUCUCUUGUCACUG